AUCAUUAAUUAUGUUAAAGCGCCUUACCUCUUAGGGUUUCCUCUGGGGUAAGUGAUUGCUUCUACACUGUGAAAAUUUGGCUGAGAGACUCAGACUGGUCAUGGGUAGACCUAUCUGGGGUUUGAUCGAUGCCACUCCUGGUUUCAGGAGCACCCUUCAUAAUAAACCUAGAAAUUCAGUAUUAUAAAGUUUAAUAAAAAACAACUUUUAACAAUGGAUCUCUUGGUUCUCGCAUCGAUGAAGAACGUAGCAAAGUGCGAUAACUAGUGUGAAUUGCAUAUUCAGUGAAUCAUCGAGUCUUUGAACGCAGCUUGCACUCUAUGGUUUUUCUAUAGAGUACGCCUGCUUCAGUAUCAUCACAAACCCACACAUAACAUUUGUUUAUGUGGUAAUGGGUCGCAUCGCUGUUUUAUUACAGUGAGCACCUAAAAUGUGUGUGAUUUUCUGUCUGGCUUGCUAGGCAGGAAUAUUACGCUGGUCUCAGGAUCUUUUUCUUUGGUUCGCCCAGGAAGUAAAGUACAAGAGUAUAAUCCAGCAACUUUCAAACUAUGAUCUGAAGUCAGGUGGGAUUACCCGCUGAACUUAAGCAUAUCAAUAAGCGGAGGAAAAGAAAAUAACAAUGAUUUCCCUAGUAACGGCGAGUGAAGAGGAAAGAGCUCAAAGUUGGAACCUGUUUGGCCUAGCUAAACCGGAUUGUAGACUGUAGAAGUGUUUUCCAGGCAAGCCGAGUAAAUAAGUCCUUUGGAACAGG
This 751-nucleotide ribosomal RNA is filed under the name Rhizopus arrhizus. RNAcentral describes it as "eukaryotic LSU rRNA". The stretch from base 203 to 356 matches the Rfam family "5.8S ribosomal RNA". The record is from RNAcentral. Lineage: Eukaryota; Fungi; Mucoromycota; Mucoromycetes; Mucorales; Rhizopodaceae.